AUCAUCUGGGUGUGUAUGUUAUCUGUAUCUAUGUCAAGACCUGGGCUUUGCUCCACUUGGAGUCAGCUGAUUGGCAAGAGGGCAUCUGAAAUUGAGAGGAGGUUUCAGGACUUUUACCCAGUCCUUUAGUGGGGAUCUGUCCGGGACUGUGCAGUAUGAAUCUGCAACUGUAAAAGUGCUGUUUGGACUGUGGACAAGUUAGGUUAUAAAUUUUGACCUCUGAACGGACGCAACCAAUACUAGUCUUUAAUGCAGUUAGACUCAUUUUGUCAGAGGUCUGGGAAAUCAGAAAAAAUACCAUAUGUCCAAGUCUUCAUGCUUUUUGAAAAUCAGGAUUCAUACCAUGAGGGAAGAUGCCAGCUGCUAGCUGUACCAAAGGACAGAAUGGAAAAAGGACUCUUCACAAGCCAGAGAGCCAAACUCAGGCAGAAAGUAAUGAAGAAGAAUUAGGACUUUUAAAUGUCCUACACCCAAGCUGUUUUAGCAGCUCCAACCACCACAGCCAGAACGCACCUGGCCUCUGCUCCACCCCUAACAGCUUCCACUGCGGUGGGAGCCCUAUGGGGCCCUUAGCAUUGGCCUCUGCAUUGGCCCGGAUUGCCUUGAUGCUACCAAGUGAGGCAUCAGACCAAUAAGAGGGAGCUACUCUGCCACCUCAGUAUAAUGAGAGAACAGAGAUGGCCUCUCCCUCCAGUGCUUGACAGGGAACACGAUUUAGCAAGGAAGUGCCAUGGCAGGAGCAAGGGAAUUCCCAUGUACAAGGAUGGCCAUGGGUGGCUUGGAUGCGAGUGGGCAACCUGUCAGACAUUACUGGACAUCCAGCCCAUUUUCAACAUCUAACUUGUGAAAUGGAAAAACUCCACCCCACUUUAUAGAAUGGAUCCCCCGAAAAUGACUGAUCUCUAUGUGUCUAUCAGUGCUACCCACCAGUGUACCUGAGCAGAUGUGUAGCCUCUCCUAAAUAUGUUUCUGACUGUAGACCAAAGAAGAUCCAGAGUCUUGGUGCCUCCAUGAAACAAAUCCAAAUGCCCCAAACCUGAAGGGACCAUUCUGGAUGCAAACCCUAAUUGGGGCUCCAACUGAUAAGGGGACAUGGCCCAUCUGGAAUAUUCACAAACAUUCUUCCUGUUUGGACUCAGGAAAAGGGUACCAAAACAGGAAGCCUCACUAGGAAUGGCCCCUUCCCCGCUCGAGAGACAAAGAAAGAGAAGUUUCAACCAUAAAUGUGGAAUGAACAAGGAAGCCUCUGCAUCAGAAAAAUCGAGGCAAGCUCUGGAACACAGCCAGCGUGCCUAGUGUAAGGAGAAAGGCCACUGAAAGGAUGACUGUCCCAAAAGAGAGGACCAAGGGGCCAGAAAAAGGAGGAAUAUGAUGAGGAAGAAGCUCACAGUCAAAUAAUGGAGCAGGGUCACUGCUCUGACCACGGACAGUGAUGCCUGGGGGCUCUCCUUAAUCCCUCAGAGACAAUUAAAAUUUCCCCACAGGAACCCUGGGUACAACUGACAGUGAGGAAAAAAUUAAUUGAUUUUCUGGUUGAUACUGGGCAAACUAUUCAGUUCUUAACACUUUACAAGCAAAAAGCACCAAAAUGAUCAUACCAGUGAUAGGAGUUGCAAGAAUAAUGCAACAAAAGGCUUUCCUACAACCUUUAGAAUGCAAACUAGAAAGUUUGGACCUAAGGCACUGCUAUUUCUAUAUGCAAGAAUGCCCAAUUCCCUUGCUGGGAAAAGACCUAUUAUGCAAAUUAAAUAUGCAAGUAAUUUAUCCCCAGAGAAACAACUACAUCUGCAGGUCCUGCUAGAGCAAGCACUGCAAGUAACAUGUUAUUCACUUGCCUUAAGAAGAAACAAGAAUUCUCCCUUAGAAGUCUAUGAGAGAGUGUGUAAUUGUGAAUAGGCAGACGGAAUCCCAGGAAAAACAAGAAAUACACAGUGAGUGCACAUGGAAAAAACAGAAGGGGCUACUGUGCCCUGGGUGGCGCGGGGGAGGCGAAUAAAAAAUCAGUAUACAUUAAUAAAGGAAGCCUUAGAAGGAAUACAAAUUUUUGAAUACAGUCUUUCAAAAAUUUCAGAAGUAGAUUGAUUCAUCCAUGCAGAUCCCCAUAUAAUAGCCCUAUCAUGCCUGUAAGGAAGCUACCCUUCAACAAAUAUCAAUUUGCCCAAGACCUGAGAGCUGUUAAUAAAAUAGUCUUGGAUAUUCACCCAAUGGUGCCUAACCCAUAUACUCUACUGACUGCUAUAUAUAGAUAUUGUGAAUGCUUUUCAGUGCUAGAUCUGAAAGAUGUUUUGUUCUGCAUUCCAGUUGAAGAAAAGACCCAGCAAUUAUUAUUACUUUUUUAAUGACAGGACCCAGAGACUAAAACAACCUUUCAAUACUGUUAGACAGUGGGGCCUCAAUGUGCUAAAAAAAAAUGCACCAACAAUUUUUGGGGAAAUAGUGGCAAAAGACUUAGGAGACCUACAACAAGAUUAAGAAGCCUGGCUACAACACAUAGAUAAUUAAUAGCAGCCACAACUAUAGGAAAUGCGUAGCUGACCUCAUCUUAGUUCUAAAUCACCUGGUACAAUAUGGAUACAAAGUAUUCCCAGGAAGCCCCAAGUAAGUAAGUAGAAAGUAACCUGUCUUGGCUUUAGGUUAAAGCAAGGCCAAAGGAGCCUGGUCUGGUAAAAAACAAACAAACAAACAAACAAAAAAAACAGGCAAUAGCAGCCAUAAAGCCCCAGAGAAUGGGGGCAACCAUGGGGAUUCUUAGAAAGGGUUAGCUUCUGCCAGAUUUGAUUCCUAAAUUUGGACUAAUGACUAAAACCCUUUAUGAAUCCCUAAAUGGACUAGACUCAGAGGCCCUUCUCUGGCUAUCUAAAGGUCAACAAACAUUUUAUACCAUCAAAGAAAAGCUGGUAUCAGCCCCCACACUGGGAUACCAAAUUCCCAAAAGCUGUUCAAAUUCUAUAUCCAAGAGAAACAAAGCAUAGGUCUGGGUGUGCUAAUCCAAAUCCUGAGAGAUGCCCCACAAUCCAUGGCCUAUUUCUCUAAACAAUUACGCCAAAGAUUAAGGGAUGGCCCCCCUUCCUCUGGGCAAAAUCACCCACUGUGAAGUCCUACAGGAAGUAGAACAAUUUACUCUGGGACAGCCAGUUACUGUAUUUGUGCCCCAUCCGGUGCUGACUCUGCUAGAACAAACGGGAGGCUACUGGCUCACUGUGGGGUGAGUGGGCAGAUACCAGGCCAUCCUCGUAUAUGAUCCAAAUAUCACCCUACAAACCACCAUGGCUCUAAACCCUGCCACACUGCUCUCAGCCACUGAACACAAUCCUGGGUUAAAGCAUGACUGUAAAUCCUUGAUGCAGCUUAUUCAAGCAUGCUGAACCUGUCAAACUAGACAAUGAGUGCUCUGGACUUGAACUACACUGAUGGGAGCAGCUUAAUGAAAGAUGUACACAGAGCCAGAUGUGCCACCGUGACUACCAAAAGGGUAAUAGAAGUCCAUACCCUUCCGGCAGCUACCUCUGCACAAAGAGCUGAGUUAAUUGCUCUUACUUGAGUCUUUAGAACUGUCCCAGAAAAAGGGAUUCUGAUUCCAUACAUGCAUUCCUGGUAAUGCACGCCCAUCGGGUGUUUUGGAAACAUAGAGGAGGCUGCUUGAAAUGAGAAAAUACGGACAUUAAACACCCAAAAGAAAUUCUGGCCCUAGUAGAAGCAAUUGACUUGCCUGCCACUGCAUCAUGCACUGCCCCACCACCAGAGAUAAUUCACAACCAAAGGUAACCAGGCAGCUGGCAAAGCUGCAAAAUGAGCUGCUCGGGAGGCACAGGUCUGGGACAUGAAUACUCCAUUUGGAAUUACUAGGUUUUAAACCUCAUUACACCGAACAAGAUCCCAAACGUGCCCAAGCCAGGGGUUUGAGAAAAAGGAUUCCAACUCCCCCUGGAAAACUGACACUCACAGGAUGAUGAAACCCCAAGGCCUUGGUUUAUCCAAUCUCAAAACAUCUACAUGAAGGAACGCACUAUGGGAGUGAUGUCCUCGCCAACCUAGUGCAACCACAUCUCAGUAGCCCACAAUUCCAAGAUAUCAUUCAGAAAAUUACACAAGGAUGCAUCUUGUGCACUACAAACAAUCCCAAGAUGGAAUGUAGCCCUCCUAAAAAGGGGAUAUAGUACAAAGGGCUGAGUCCCUUCAAAGACUGAAAGGUGGGCUUCACUCAGAUGUCUACCUGGUUAUGUGAGCCAAGGAAAGAUCUGAAGUUAUUAAUAAGAGAAAAAGGAGGAGAGUUAAGUGA
RNAcentral lists this long non-coding RNA (4279 nucleotides) under Pan troglodytes (chimpanzee). Its description in RNAcentral is "lincRNA". Lineage: Eukaryota; Metazoa; Chordata; Mammalia; Primates; Hominidae. The record is from RNAcentral.